This 265-nucleotide ribosomal RNA is filed under the name uncultured bacterium. RNAcentral describes it as "partial 16S ribosomal RNA". The record is from RNAcentral.
CUGCUGCCUUCCGUAGGAGUCUGGGCCGUGUCUCAGUCCCAAUGUGGCCGUUCAACCUCUCAGUCCGGCUACCGAUCGUCGCUUUGGUGGGCCGUUACCCCGCCAACUGGCUAAUCGGACGCGAGCCCAUCUUUCAGCGGAUUUCUCCUUUGAUUUAAUCACCAUGCAGCAAUUAAAUAUUAUGCGGUAUUAGCGUUCGUUUCCAAACGUUAUCCCCCUCUGAAAGGCAGGUUGCUCACGUGUUACUCACCCGUCCGCCACUAGG